UACGAAGGGGGCUAGCGUUGCUCGGAAUCACUGGGCGUAAAGCGCACGUAGGCGGCUUUUUAAGUCAGGGGUGAAAUCCUGGAGCUCAACUCCAGAACUGCCUUUGAUACUGGGAAGCUUGAGUCCGGAAGAGGUGAGUGGAACUCCGAGUGUAGAGGUGAAAUUCGUAGAUAUUCGGAAGAACACCGGUGGCGAAGGCGGCCUGCUGGGCAGUAGCUGACGCUGAAGCGCGACAGCGUGGGGAGCAAACAGG
Molecule: ribosomal RNA, 253 nt
Filed under: uncultured bacterium
Lineage: Bacteria
Description: partial 16S ribosomal RNA
Rfam family: Bacterial small subunit ribosomal RNA
Source: RNAcentral